RNAcentral lists this ribosomal RNA (800 nucleotides) under uncultured Alloiococcus sp. Its description in RNAcentral is "bacterial SSU rRNA". It matches the Rfam family "Bacterial small subunit ribosomal RNA", at positions 9 to 791 of the family's 1533-position model. Lineage: Bacteria; Bacillati; Bacillota; Bacilli; Lactobacillales; Carnobacteriaceae. The record is from RNAcentral.
GAGUUUGAUCCUGGGUCAGGACGAACGCUGGCGGCAUGCCUAAUACAUGCAAGUCGAACGCCAAAUCUUCCUGCUUGCAGGAAGAGGCGGAGUGGCGAACGGGUGAGUAACACGUGAGGAACUUGCCCAUAAGAGGGGGAUAACACCCGGAAACGGGUGCUAAUACCGCAUAGGUUUUCCCAGUGCAUGCUGGGAAAAUAAAAGGUGGCUCUGCUACCGCUUAUGGAUAGCCUCGCGGCGCAUUAGCUAGUUGGUAAGGUAAAGGCCUACCAAGGCCAUGAUGCGUAGCCGACUUGAGAGGGUGAUCGGCCACACUGGAACUGAGACACGGUCCAGACUCCUACGGGAGGCAGCAGUAGGGAAUCUUCCACAAUGGGUGCAAGCCUGAUGGAGCAAUGCCGCGUGAGUGAAGAAGGACUUCGGUUCGUAAAGCUCUGUUGUUGGGGAAGAACACGGAUAGGAGUCACUGCCUAUCCCUUGACGGUACCGAACCAGAAAGUCACGGCUAACUACGUGCCAGCAGCCGCGGUAAUACGUAGGUGACAAGCGUUGUCCGGAUUUAUUGGGCGUAAAGCGAGCGCAGGCGGUCCGGUAAGUCUGAUGUGAAAGCCCACGGCUCAACCGUGGAACGGCAUUGGAAACUGGCGGACUUGAAUGUAGCAGAGGAAAGUGGAAUUCCAUGUGUAGCGGUGGAAUGCGUAGAUAUAUGGAGGAACACCAGUGGCGAAAGCGACUUUCUGGGCUAUGAUUGACGCUGAGGCUCGAAAGCGUGGGGAGCGAACAGGAUUCGAUACCCUGGU